GCCGGCUUAGCUCAGUUGGUAGAGCACCGCUCUUGUAAAGCGGAUGUCGCGGGUUCGAACCCCGCAGCCGGCU
This 73-nucleotide transfer RNA is filed under the name Pseudoclavibacter chungangensis. RNAcentral's name for it is "Pseudoclavibacter sp. CAU 59 tRNA". It matches the Rfam family "tRNA". Rfam says of the family: Transfer RNA (tRNA) molecules are approximately 80 nucleotides in length. Their secondary structure includes four short double-helical elements and three loops (D, anti-codon, and T loops). Lineage: Bacteria; Bacillati; Actinomycetota; Actinomycetes; Micrococcales; Microbacteriaceae. The record is from Rfam by way of RNAcentral. RNAcentral also lists the same sequence under 1 other name.